AGGUGGGAGGAUUGCUUGAGCCCGGGAGGUGGAGGUUGCAGUGAGCUGAGAUCACGCCACUGCACUGCAGCCUGGG
MicroRNA precursor from Rhinopithecus bieti (black snub-nosed monkey), 76 nucleotides. The record is from Ensembl. Lineage: Eukaryota; Metazoa; Chordata; Mammalia; Primates; Cercopithecidae.